MicroRNA precursor from Gorilla gorilla gorilla (western lowland gorilla), 97 nucleotides. The record is from Ensembl. NCBI's taxonomy places the organism in Eukaryota, Metazoa, Chordata, Mammalia, Primates, Hominidae.
CUAGAUAAGUUAUUAGGUGGGUGCAAAGGUAAUCGCAGUUUUUCCCAUUAUUUUAAUUGCAAAAACAGCAAUUACCUUUGCACCAACCUGAUGGAGU